Molecule: non-coding RNA, 85 nt
Filed under: Paenibacillus sp. CECT 9249
Lineage: Bacteria; Bacillati; Bacillota; Bacilli; Caryophanales; Paenibacillaceae
Description: c-di-GMP-I
Rfam family: c-di-GMP-I-GGC riboswitch aptamer
Source: RNAcentral
ACACGAUAAUGGCAAACCUGUCGAAAGGCAGGGACGCAAAGCUAUAGGGCCUUCUUAACUAUAAGAUGGCAGCCUGGCCGCCGAA